Molecule: ribosomal RNA, 835 nt
Filed under: uncultured bacterium
Lineage: Bacteria
Description: bacterial SSU rRNA
Rfam family: Bacterial small subunit ribosomal RNA
Source: RNAcentral
GGCUCAGAACGAACGCUGGCGGCGUGCUUAACACAUGCAAGUCGAGUGCGCGGUUGUAGCAAUACAACUGGCGCACGGCGCACGGGUGCGUAACACGUGGGUAACCUGCCCUUUGGUGGGGAAUAACUCCGCGAAAGCGGAGCUAAUUCCGCAUAAGAUCCGCAAGGAUGAAAGCCGCAAGGCGCCGAUGGAGGGGCCCGCGCCCGAUUAGCUUGUUGGUAGGGUAACGGCCUACCAAGGCUUUGAUCGGUAGCUGGUCUGAGAGGAUGGCCAGCCACACUGGAACUGAGACACGGUCCAGACUCCUACGGGAGGCAGCAGUGGGGAAUCUUGCACAAUGGGCGAAAGCCUGAUGCAGCGACGCCGCGUGGGGGAUGAAGCUUCUCGGAGUGUAAACCCCUUUCGAUCCGGACGAAUGCCCGCAAGGGAUUGACGGUACGGAUAUAAGAAGCCCCGGCUAACUACGUGCCAGCAGCCGCGGUAAGACGUAGGGGGCCAGCGUUGUUCGGAAUUACUGGGUGUAAAGGGUUCGUAGGCGGUGUGGCAAGUUGGGAGUGAAAUCUCUGGGCUUAACCCAGAGGCUGCUUCCAAAACUGCUGUGCUUGAGUGUGAGAGAGGCUCGUGGAAUUGCAGGUGUAGCGGUGAAAUGCGUAGAUAUCUGCAGGAACACCCGUGGCGAAAGCGGCGAGCUGGAUCACUACUGACGCUGAGGAACGAAAGCUAGGGGAGCAAACAGGAUUAGAUACCCUGGUAGUCCUAGCCCUAAACGAUCAGGACUUGGGGUGCCACCCGUUCGGGUGUCGUCCCGGAGCUAACGCGUUAAGUCCUGCACCUG